Long non-coding RNA from Cyprinus carpio carpio, 572 nucleotides. Lineage: Eukaryota; Metazoa; Chordata; Actinopteri; Cypriniformes; Cyprinidae. The record is from Ensembl.
CAGAGGUUCCCGAUUAGCACUGUCACAUAGGAACGGUGCAAGAGGAGAGCAGACGAGAGGACAAAUCACAGAAUUAUUCAUUUUUGUUUUUAUGUUUUACGUCAUGAUGGAGGAUACGGUGAUGUACCUCAGGCUUAGUCAAGACCAAGGCCAGGUGAAUGGUCCACGCCAGGGGAGAUUUUACCAACACAAGUCAAACUGUCAGUGAAUUUAUACACACUGGACUCUGUGAGGACGUUGUAAAAACAUUGUCAAAACAUUCGUCAUCAAGCCUCUCUCUCUGGUGGUUACAGCACUGCAACUUUUCAGUGCCGUGACCCCGUUGACCCAAACACCACUGUCAUUACUCUUGGCUGCCAGGAGGUGGGACAGAAUGAAACUUUUAUAGUGCCCCAGAGAGCCCAUUAUCUCUCCAGGAGAAAAGAGAAAAAUAAGGCAGUAAAAUGGUAAACACUGGCCAUUUUGAACAGGGUUUCCCCAGGACUCGCACGAGAGCUCUUAAUGAGUCUUCCACCCAUCAUAGCAACAUGCAGCAUCCUAUCAAGUGCCUCCCAAGUGAAAAAGGCCAAAUA